UCUUUCAUUGUUCAAACUGAGCUCAACUCCUGAUGCAUGGAGAAAAGGUCUUCACAAGCCUCUGCUAAUGUGUAGCCAACACUGUUUUAUAUAUAUAUAUAUAUAUAUAUAUAUAUAUAUAUAUAUUUUUUUUUUUUUUAAUUGGGGUAGCCCUCAAAAUAUUGGGACAUAUAAAAAAAGACAACUCCGCAGAGUAGCUGUUGACAUUAUAAUUGCGCAGGAAUUUUGUUGACUCUAGAGAACCUUGGGCAAAUCGCACAUCGCCGUGGCGGCGACUUUGCAUGCGGAUGUCAUCCAUAUCAACUUUCGAUGCCAGUUUCUGCGCCUACCAUGGUGACCACGGGUAACGGGGAAUCAGGGUUCCAUUCCGUACAUGGACCCUGAGAAACGGCUACACAUGCAAGGAAGGCAGCAGGCGCGCAAAUGACCCACUCCCAACGCGGGAAGGUAGCGACGACAAAUAACAAUACAGGACUCUUUAGAGGCCCUGCAAUUGUAAUGAGUCCACUAUAAAAUCCUUUAACUCUGAUCAAUUGGAGGGAAGUCUGGUGCAGAGCCACUGACCUGUGCGUGCUGCAGCUGAAACUCCACU
This 592-nucleotide ribosomal RNA is filed under the name Pelobates cultripes (western spadefoot toad). Its description in RNAcentral is "SSU_rRNA_eukarya". It matches the Rfam family "Eukaryotic small subunit ribosomal RNA", at positions 57 to 590 of the family's 1831-position model. The record is from RNAcentral. Lineage: Eukaryota; Metazoa; Chordata; Amphibia; Anura; Pelobatidae.